UACGUAGGUGGCAAGCGUUGUCCGGAUUUACUGGGCGUAAAGGGCUCGUAGGCGGCCAACUAAGUCGGAUGUGAAAUCCCCAGGCUCAACCUGGGAACUGCAUCCGAUACUGGAUGGCUUGAAUUCGGGAGAGGGAUGCAGAAUUCCAGGUGUAGCGGUGAAAUGCGUAGAUAUCUGGAGGAAUACCGGUGGCGAAGGCGGCAUCCUGGACCGACAUUGACGCUGAUGAGCGAAAGCUAGGGGAGCAAACGGG
This 253-nucleotide ribosomal RNA is filed under the name uncultured bacterium. RNAcentral describes it as "partial 16S ribosomal RNA". It matches the Rfam family "Bacterial small subunit ribosomal RNA", at positions 524 to 776 of the family's 1533-position model. The record is from RNAcentral.